Molecule: ribosomal RNA, 490 nt
Filed under: uncultured bacterium
Lineage: Bacteria
Description: partial 16S ribosomal RNA
Rfam family: Bacterial small subunit ribosomal RNA
Source: RNAcentral
AUUGAACGCUGGCGGCAGGCCUAACACAUGCAAGUCGAACGGUAACAGGAAGAAGCUAGCUUCUUUGCUGACGAGUGGCGGACGGGUGAGUAAUGUCUGGGAAACUGCCUGAUGGAGAGGGAUAACUACUGGAAACGGUAGCUAAUACCGCAUAACGUCGCAAGACCAAAGAGGGGGACCUUCGGGCCUCUUGCCAUCGGAUGUGCCCAGAUGGGAUUAGCUAGUAGGUGGGGUAACGGCUCACCUAGGCGACGAUCCCUAGCUGGUCUGAGAGGAUGACCAGCCACACUGGAACUGAGACACGGUCCAGACUCCUACGGGAGGCAGCAGUGGGGAAUAUUGCACAAUGGGCGCAAGCCUGAUGCAGCCAUGCCGCGUGUAUGAAGAAGGCCUUCGGGUUGUAAAGUACUUUCAGCGGGGAGGAAGGGAGUAAAGUUAAUACCCUUGCUCAUUGACGUUACCCGCAGAAGAAGCACCGGCUAACUCCGUG